Molecule: non-coding RNA, 104 nt
Filed under: Mobilicoccus massiliensis
Lineage: Bacteria; Bacillati; Actinomycetota; Actinomycetes; Micrococcales; Dermatophilaceae
Description: ALIL pseudoknot
Rfam family: ALIL pseudoknot
Source: RNAcentral
GCCUAUUUCGCUCAGGCGGAGCUCGACCGCCGACCGUAGACGUCGAUGCGUUCAUUGCCGCGCACCGCGACGAGCAUGGGGUCGAGCCGAUCUGCGAGGUCCUG